UGGCCCAAGGACAAGGAGAAUGAAAAGAAGCCUCGGGAGAAGAAGAAGCCCGAAGAGGAGAAGAAGACUGAUAAAGAUCUCCUUGACUGGCUUCAGGCCAUGUUUGGAUUUCAGAAAGAUAAUGUAUCCAACCAAAGGGAACAUCUCAUAUUGUUAUUAGCAAACGUACACAUAAGGCUGAUACCCAAGCCUGAACAACAGUCUAAGUUGGAUGAUAGGGCUUUGGGAAAAGACUUUCAGGGAGUAUCAGGAUUUCCAGGUUAACCAUGUGCAUGAAAUAACUGAAAAUAACCAGGCAAUGAUAGAACUAGAGGCCAAGAAGCACAGAUUGGAGAAGGAACUGAAAGACC
Long non-coding RNA from Lolium rigidum, 350 nucleotides. RefSeq lists it as uncharacterized. The record is from RefSeq and is a predicted model, not a curated record. The transcript has 3 exons. NCBI's taxonomy places the organism in Eukaryota, Viridiplantae, Streptophyta, Magnoliopsida, Poales, Poaceae.